This 272-nucleotide ribosomal RNA is filed under the name Proteus sp. (in: enterobacteria). RNAcentral's name for it is "Proteus sp. partial 16S ribosomal RNA". It matches the Rfam family "Bacterial small subunit ribosomal RNA", at positions 1186 to 1459 of the family's 1533-position model. The record is from RNAcentral. Lineage: Bacteria; Pseudomonadati; Pseudomonadota; Gammaproteobacteria; Enterobacterales; Morganellaceae.
CAAGUCAUCAGGGCCCCUACGAGUAGGGCUACACACGUGCUACAAUGGCAGAUACAAAGAGAAGCGACCUCGCGAGAGCAAGCGGAACUCAUAAAGUCUGUCGUAGUCCGGAUUGGAGUCUGCAACUCGACUCCAUGAAGUCGGAAUCGCUAGUAAUCGUAGAUCAGAAUGCUACGGUGAAUACGUUCCCGGGCCUUGUACACACCGCCCGUCACACCAUGGGAGUGGGUUGCAAAAGAAGUACGUAGGCGUUAGAUCUAUGGCUCGAGCAU